UUUUUUUUUUUUCCUCCUUCAGGUCUUUGCCUGAAUGUUACCUUCCCAGACAGGUCUUCUCUGACCACCCUACUUAAAAUUGUACUCCUCUCCUCUACACUCUGGCACAUUAUCGCACCUUCCUUGCCUGAUUUUUUUUCCACAGCACUUACUGCCAUUUGACAUACUACGUAUUUUGCUUAUUUACAUGUUUAUUGCUUGAGAACGUAAACUCCAUGAGAGCAGGGUAUUUUUAAUUGUUUACUACUGUAUUCUUGUGCUAAUAAACAGGGCCUAGCACAUAAAGAAUGUUCACUAAAUGUUUAUUGAAUGAACGAAUCCCUUGGGGCAAAUACUUUGUAGUCCCCUCAAUGCCUAGCACACUGCCUUGUAUGCAAUAGAACACUCAGUAAAUAUUUGAUGAAUGGCCUAUGAUGGAAGACUACUAAUAUUCUACCUUGCAGUUUACUUCGUUCUCUGAGUAUUCCUACAUACAUGGGCUUACAUUAAAUUUCUGAGCUUGUAAACGUGCAACAAAAGGUCAGGAGAAGUCCUCCAUGGACACUGCUGAAAAUAGCGGUAAGACAAAGAUAGGAUGCUGCUUUGAGUAUUUUCUGCCUUUGCCACUUAGAUAAAUCCCUCUCCCACCUCCAUCUCAGUUUUAUCAUAUGUAAAAUGACUAUAUGAUCUCUGAGGUCCCUUCUAUUUUUACAUUUGGUAGUUUUGAGCACAAUGGUCACUUUUAAUUCCAGAAUUGUAUGAUUUUUAUCUUCUCCUAACCCAUGCUUGAAAUAUGCUUAAUGGAAACGUGGUGCAAGAAUAAAGGCUCACUUAGGUCCAAUUAACAAGUAUCACUAUAAAAAUAAUAAAACAUGGUGUAAAAGUCCACAUUAGCAACAUGUAGAUGAUGACAUUGAGGCUUACAUGAGGCAGACAGGACUAAAACCCAGGUUUUUUUCAGUCCCUUCAGGGCUCUUUAUCUGAAGUCCCAUAGAACACUGUAUUUCCUUUCCAAGGGCUAUAAAAGUUAGAUCUUUAUUGUCCAGAUAGUUUGGAAAAUCCAUCCUCCUUCACUUGUCUCAACAUACUUGGUUCCAGCACUAGAAACAAAACAACUUUCUCUUGCAGUGUCUCUUGGAUGAUUCAGGUGGCAUGCCUUCAGUCACUUCCCGCUUGGAAACUGUCUUGCAGGCAAAGGCGACACUGCAAUUACAAUGGGCAAGCAAACUCUUUGCAUGCACGUCUGUGAUGUAAAAACGUUUUAAUUCAGCCCUAUCCUUAUAAAGAGAUAAAAAAUGUGUUCAGAAACAUGCAAACUCGUGGCUGUCAUCCUGAUAAACAGAUUUUCUUAAAGGAAACUCUAAACCAGAGCCAGACUUACUUUCCUGAGCUGAGGGAGGGGAAAUAAAGAAGCAGGCAUGAUUGAUUUCCCGCUAGCGGGAACGAUCUGGCCCCAGACGUCACGAGCAUCCCUCCAACCCUAGUCCAACGUCUCCUGUGCCCGACCGCCUAGCUACAAGGGGCCGGGCUAUGGGUUAGACUCGUCCC
This 1527-nucleotide long non-coding RNA is filed under the name Macaca fascicularis (crab-eating macaque). Its description in RNAcentral is "lncRNA (ENSMFAG00000052183.1)". The record is from RNAcentral. Lineage: Eukaryota; Metazoa; Chordata; Mammalia; Primates; Cercopithecidae.